Molecule: ribosomal RNA, 492 nt
Filed under: uncultured bacterium
Lineage: Bacteria
Description: partial 16S ribosomal RNA
Rfam family: Bacterial small subunit ribosomal RNA
Source: RNAcentral
AGUGAACGCUGGCGGUAGGCCUAACACAUGCAAGUCGAACGGCAGCACAGUAAGAGCUUGCUCUUACGGGUGGCGAGUGGCGGACGGGUGAGGAAUACAUCGGAAUCUACUUUUUCGUGGGGGAUAACGUAGGGAAACUUACGCUAAUACCGCAUACGACCUACGGGUGAAAGCAGGGGAUCUUCGGACCUUGCGCGAUUGAAUGAGCCGAUGUCGGAUUAGCUAGUUGGCGGGGUAAAGGCCCACCAAGGCGACGAUCCGUAGCUGGUCUGAGAGGAUGGUCAGCCACACUGGAACUGAGACACGGUCCAGACUCCUACGGGAGGCAGCAGUGGGGAAUAUUGGACAAUGGGCGCAAGCCUGAUCCAGCCAUACCGCGUGGGUGACGAAGGCCUUCGGGUUGUAAAGCCCUUUUGUUGGGAAAGAAAAGCAGCAGGUUAAUACCCCGCUGUUCUGACGGUACCCAAAGAAUAAGCACCGGCUAACUUCGUG